Non-coding RNA from Caerostris darwini, 113 nucleotides. NCBI's taxonomy places the organism in Eukaryota, Metazoa, Arthropoda, Arachnida, Araneae, Araneidae. The record is from the annotation of a GenBank genome assembly.
AACGGCCGUACCAUGCUGAAUAUACCGGUUCUCGUUAGAUCACCGAAGUUAAGCAUCAUUGGGCGCGAAUCAGUACUUGGGUGGGUGACCACCGCAGAACACUGCGUGCCGUU